Molecule: non-coding RNA, 732 nt
Organism: Camellia sinensis
Lineage: Eukaryota; Viridiplantae; Streptophyta; Magnoliopsida; Ericales; Theaceae
Source: RefSeq, a predicted model, not a curated record
AGCUGAUAUUGGAUCGAAGGGGGUAGCAAGGAUUAGUAACAGCGGCAUUGAUGGCAUCGGAAGCUUGUGUAGAACAAUAUCAAGUUCUGAAUUAUCGAAGCAGGGGAAACCAGGUUCAUUGUUUCAUGGCUUUGUUGCCGAUGAGGAACCUCACCAUCAACUUGUCUAGCCCUGAUUUUGAGCCAAUUAGAGAGGUCCUGUCAUCAUAUGAUGUCAAUUCCAAAACUGUAGGAAUUGCUACAGGAAAUGUCAUGAAGAACCAAGAAAAAUGAGCUUUUGUGUUGUAGUGUUGAGCACCACGUAUAAGCUGCCAUGUACAUUAUAGAUGAGAAGUCUGACAGUGCUCUCACGGCAUGCUCCGAAAUUCACUAGUUCAAGGAUAUAGAAAUGUCGCUACAGCUGUAGAAUCGGAGAGUAUUGCCAGAUGAAAGGAUAACAUCCUCUGAUUUUCAUGCCUUUAAUGAUAUAAAUAUCCAAAGGCUGAAUGGCAAUGUUUUGUACCUGUUUUACUGAUCUGGGUCUGUUAGCAGAUUGUAUGUAUGUCUCAUGAUCUGUCGGUGGCAAUUUUAGCUGUCUUGAAAAUAUAAUGUCAGUCUCAGUUUUGUGUAGUACAAUUUGCCAAGGCAAUGUAACUUUAAGAAUCGGGGUUGUAAUAAUGAUGGUUUUGCUUUCUUGAUCUUUAAGCGCAUGGUUUUGUUGUUGUUGUUAUAUGUGAGGGCCACCUUCGACUUC